GAUGAACGCUGGCGGCGUGCCUAAUACAUGCAAGUCGAGCGAACAGACGAGGAGCUUGCUCCUCUGACGUUAUCGGCGGACGGGUGAGUAACACGUGGAUAACCUACCUAUAAGACUGGGAUAACUUCGGGAAACCGGAGCUAAUACCGGAUAAUAUAUUGAACCGCAUGGUUCAAUAGUGAAAGUCGGUUUUUCUGUCUCUUAUAGAUGGAUCCGCGCCGCAUUAGCUAGUUGGUAAGGUAACGGCUUACCAAGGCAACGAUGCGUAGCCGACCUGAGAGGGUGAUCGGCAACACUGGAACUGAGACACGGACCAGACACCGACGGGAGGCAGCAGUAGGGAAUAUUCCGCAAUGGGCGAAAGCCUGACGGAGCAACGCCGCGUGAGUGAUGAAGGACUAAGGAUCGUAAAACUCUGUUAGUAGGGAAGAAAAAAUGUGUAAGUAACUAUGCACGUAAUGACGGUACCGAAACAGAAAGCCACGGCUAACUACGUG
This 497-nucleotide ribosomal RNA is filed under the name uncultured bacterium. RNAcentral describes it as "partial 16S ribosomal RNA". It matches the Rfam family "Bacterial small subunit ribosomal RNA", at positions 28 to 507 of the family's 1533-position model. The record is from RNAcentral.